Molecule: long non-coding RNA, 295 nt
Filed under: Carica papaya (papaya)
Lineage: Eukaryota; Viridiplantae; Streptophyta; Magnoliopsida; Brassicales; Caricaceae
Description: long non-coding RNA (CPAP_LNC002366)
Source: RNAcentral
UGACUAUUUUCGGUCAGUUUUGGCUAGUUUCGGCCAGUUUUAUAUCCAUCCCUGUAAAAAAAAUACUUUAGAGGGUAUCGGUUGGCCGAAAAAAGUUAAAAAAAUAAAAACUUACCGACGGUAAAAUUUUUCGGUGUGGUGGCUCCCCCGACUCACAUUUGUAGCUGAGUGUUUUUCUUUGGUCAACUUGUUAGAUAACAUAAUGGUGAAUAUAGUGGUAGAAAAAUAACACAAAAUGAGAAUCGGGAAUAAGCUCAUCGAAUUGAUUUUUAGUUUUUCCCGUGGCGCCGCCGCU